UACGGAGGGGGCUAGCGUUGUUCGGAAUUACUGGGCGUAAAGCGCGCGUAGGCGGACCUGCAAGUCGGGGGUGAAAGCCCGAGGCUCAACCUCGGAACUGCCUUCGAUACUGCGGGUCUCGAGUCCGGGAGAGGUGAGUGGAAUUCCUAGUGUAGAGGUGAAAUUCGUAGAUAUUAGGAAGAACACCAGUGGCGAGGCGGCUCACUGGCCCGGUACUGACGCUGAGGCGCGAAAGCGUGGGGAGCAAACAGG
RNAcentral lists this ribosomal RNA (252 nucleotides) under uncultured bacterium. RNAcentral's name for it is "partial 16S ribosomal RNA". It matches the Rfam family "Bacterial small subunit ribosomal RNA", at positions 524 to 776 of the family's 1533-position model. The record is from RNAcentral.